This 389-nucleotide ribosomal RNA is filed under the name uncultured bacterium. RNAcentral describes it as "partial 16S ribosomal RNA". It matches the Rfam family "Bacterial small subunit ribosomal RNA", at positions 523 to 918 of the family's 1533-position model. The record is from RNAcentral.
AUACGUAGGGGGCAAGCGUUGUCCGGAAUUACUGGGCGUAAAGGGUGCGCAGGCGGCUUGGUUAGUCAGAAGUGAAAGUUUGCAGCUUAACUGUAAAAGUGCUUUUGAUACUGCCUGGCUUGAGUCUCGGAGGGGUAAGCGGAAUUCCUAGUGUAGCGGUAAAAUGCGUAGAGAUUAGGAAGAACACCGGCGGCGAAGGCGGCUUACUGGACGAGUACUGACGCUCAUGCACGAAAGCGUGGGAAGCAAACAGGAUUAGAUACCCUGGUAGUCCAUGCCGUAAACGAUGAAUACUAGCUGUUGGGGCAACUCAGUAGCGCAGUUAACACAUUAAGUAUUCCGCCUGGGGAGUACGCACGCAAGGGUAAAACUCAAAGGAAUUGACGGGG